GAUGAACGCUGGCGGCGUGCCUAAUACAUGCAAGUCGAGCGAACGGACGAGAAGCUUGCUUCUCUGAUGUUAGCGGCGGACGGGUGAGUAACACGUGGAUAACCUACCUAUAAGACUGGGAUAACUUCGGGAAACCGGAGCUAAUACCGGAUGAUAUUUUGAACCGCAUGGUUCAAAAGUGAAAGACGGUCUUGCUGUCACUUAUAGAUGGAUCCGCGCUGCAUUAGCUAGUUGGUAAGGUAACGGCUUACCAAGGCAACGAUGCAUAGCCGACCUAGAGGGUGAUCGGCCACACUGGAACUGAGACACGGUCCAGACUCCUACGGGAGGCAGCAGUAGGGAAUCUUCCGCAAUGGGCGAAAGCCUGACGGAGCAACGCCGCGUGAGUGAUGAAGGUCUUCGGAUCGUAAAACUCUGUUAUUAGGGAAGAACAUAUGUGUAAGUAACUGUGCACAUCUUGACGGUACCUAAUCAGAAAGCCACGGCUAACUACGUG
Molecule: ribosomal RNA, 496 nt
Filed under: uncultured bacterium
Lineage: Bacteria
Description: partial 16S ribosomal RNA
Rfam family: Bacterial small subunit ribosomal RNA
Source: RNAcentral